Molecule: long non-coding RNA, 793 nt
Filed under: Cyanistes caeruleus (blue tit)
Lineage: Eukaryota; Metazoa; Chordata; Aves; Passeriformes; Paridae
Description: lncRNA (ENSCCEG00000000500.1)
Source: RNAcentral
AGUGCCAGGACCAGAAGCAAUGGACACAAACAGAAACACAAGAUGUUCUUUCUGAACACCAGGAAACACUUCUUCCCUGAGAUGACAAAUGAGCACUGGAACAGACUGUGCAGAGAAGUUGUGGAUUACAAGCAUGUGGUUGAAAGUUUUCAAGAGUCAGAGAGAUAAAGGUCUGAAUAACCUGGUCUGAUCCUUCUGUGAGCAGGAGGUUGGGCUAGAGGCCUCCCUUUCAACCUGAAUUAUUUUAUGAGUCCAUGAGACUCUCAUAUAUUUAUCUUCUACAGCAAGUACUAUCUUAGAGAUAAUACUCUGAUUUGUUGCUCUAGCCCACAGCUACUUUCCCGGUAAUGUAAAUUUUUCAAGUACAAAAAUGCACCCAUGAUUAGUUCAUUGCAGGAUCAGGGCAACAAUGGGCAUAAGAGCCCGUAUAUAUAAUCCAAUGCUGUUUCAUACUUCUAUGUUUUUCAGAUUUCAAAUGAUGCAUCUGAUUGCCAGCAACAAACUCAAAAUCUUCAAAAAAGAAAAGAGCUGGAGCAGGGACUUAACUCUUGGACUUGGCAAGAUCAAUUCUGAAAUGAAAUUAAGGUGAAACUGAAAGAAAAUGUCUAUAUUGAAGCCCUUUUCUAUUCUAUGGUCUCAAUUCAUUGCUGAAUCGUGCCAAAAUCUUUCAUUUAAGUAAUGAAUUUGUUGAGGAAACUGAACAUGUGAAUGGACUUGGGCAAUCACUGAGAUCACUAUCAUAACUAGGCACCAAAAGGUAACCAGGUGUUGUGUGCUCUGGACUCUAUCAAGG